This 506-nucleotide ribosomal RNA is filed under the name uncultured bacterium. Its description in RNAcentral is "bacterial SSU rRNA". It matches the Rfam family "Bacterial small subunit ribosomal RNA", at positions 28 to 492 of the family's 1533-position model. The record is from RNAcentral.
GACGAACGCUGGCGGCGUGCCUAAUACAUGCAAGUCGAACGCACUCUCGUUUAGAUUGAAGGAGCUUGCUCCUGAUUGAUAAACAUUUGAGUGAGUGGCGGACGGGUGAGUAACACGUGGGUAACCUGCCCUAAAGUGGGGGAUAACAUUUGGAAACAGAUGCUAAUACCGCAUAAAACCUAACACCGCAUGGUGUAGGGUUGAAAGAUGGUUUCGGCUAUCACUUUAGGAUGGACCCGCGGUGCAUUAGUUAGUUGGUGAGGUAAAGGCUCACCAAGACCGUGAUGCAUAGCCGACCUGAGAGGGUAAUCGGCCACACUGGGACUGAGACACGGCCCAGACUCCUACGGGAGGCAGCAGUAGGGAAUCUUCCACAAUGGACGAAAGUCUGAUGGAGCAACGCCGCGUGAGUGAAGAAGGUUUCGGAUCGUAAAACUCUAGUUGUUGGAGAAGAAUGUAAUCUGAUAGUAACUGAUCAGGUAGUGACGGUAUCCAACCAGAAAGCC